GGGUUGUGUAGCUGAGUCGUAAAAGAGGAGGUUCGAUUGACCGCUACUGAAAAUCGUAUAUGCCAAUGCAGGGCUCAAAAUGACUAGGGCGAUUUGAUCCCUCCUAAUUAUUAUUAAAUAAUUUGGGAUGUUCGAGUCCGUUGUAAAUCAUUACAUGAUCGGGAGCGUAAGACACCAUAGAAUAUUAUUAGUAGGUUUGAGUCCCCC
This 207-nucleotide long non-coding RNA is filed under the name Capsicum annuum. RNAcentral describes it as "long non-coding RNA (CANN_LNC006715)". The record is from RNAcentral. Lineage: Eukaryota; Viridiplantae; Streptophyta; Magnoliopsida; Solanales; Solanaceae.